This is an unclassified non-coding RNA of Bos indicus x Bos taurus (hybrid cattle), 36 nucleotides long. The record is from Ensembl. Lineage: Eukaryota; Metazoa; Chordata; Mammalia; Artiodactyla; Bovidae.
UGGCCCAUCGGGGCAAUGGAUACCUGCCUCUUUUUU